RNAcentral lists this ribosomal RNA (468 nucleotides) under uncultured bacterium. Its description in RNAcentral is "partial 16S ribosomal RNA". It matches the Rfam family "Bacterial small subunit ribosomal RNA", at positions 28 to 507 of the family's 1533-position model. The record is from RNAcentral.
GACGAACGCUGGCGGCGUGCUUAACACAUGCAAGUCGAACGGAAAGGCCCUGCUUUUGUGGGGUGCUCGAGUGGCGAACGGGUGAGUAACACGUGAGUAACCUGCCCUUGACUUUGGGAUAACUUCAGGAAACUGGGGCUAAUACCGGAUAGGAGCUCCUGCUGCAUGGUGGGGGUUGGAAAGUUUCGGCGGUUGGGGAUGGACUGGCGGCUUAUCAGCUUGUUGGUGGGGUAGUGGCUUACCAAGGCUUUGACGGGUAGCCGGCCUGAGAGGGUGGCCGGCGACAAGGGGACUGCGAUACGGCGCAGACGGGUACGGGAGGCAGCAGGGGGGAAUAUGGCACAGUGAGCGGAAGCCUGAUGCGGCGACGCCGCGUGCGUGAUGACGGCCUUCUGGUUGUAAACCGCUUUCGCCUGUGACGAAGCGUGAGUGACGGUAAUGGGUAAAGAAGCACCGGCUAACUACGUG